Molecule: long non-coding RNA, 557 nt
Organism: Bos taurus (domestic cattle)
Lineage: Eukaryota; Metazoa; Chordata; Mammalia; Artiodactyla; Bovidae
Source: Ensembl
AUCCAAACAAAAGUACCUGUGACUAAAUUCCAUUGUUACCAGUCCUCCCAAGUCAGUCUUCAAAUAAGGGACCUUCUGCCUGGUGUAACUCGAACCAAUAGGAGACCGAGUUUGGUUCUUCAGAAGCAAAGGAAAGUUAUCCUUGGAUCAGAGAAUGAGAGGUGGGAGUUCCAGCCCUAGAGUACAAGCUCUUCUGACAGGCUGUGGGCCAGGCGGCUUUACAGGUAUCUCCUAGGCCCCUUACCUGAGGUGCUGGCACAGCCAGCUCACAGGAGGAACUCUGAUCUGAAGGGCCAUGCAUGAGGCUGCUGUAUGUGCCCCCUCUAAGCAGUCCCUUGUGAACAAGUGAAACGGGAACAAGUGAAACUUAAGCACAAAGGAAAAGAAAAAGGUUUGUAAUUCAACUUUCCAGUAUCAGGACCUGAUUUUGGGGAAGGAAGCAAAAAAAAAAAAAAAAACCCAUCAAAGGAAUAGCUUGAAGAACAGCUACAGUGACUUCUUUGUGGACUUCAAACAUCAAUCUGAUUGAUUUUGUGAGUUAACAUGAUCUUUGUGUU